Molecule: ribosomal RNA, 368 nt
Filed under: uncultured organism
Description: partial 16S ribosomal RNA
Rfam family: Bacterial small subunit ribosomal RNA
Source: RNAcentral
GUAGGGUGCAAGCGUUAAUCGGAAUUACUGGGCGUAAAGCGUGCGCAGGCGGUUUUGUAAGUCUGUCGUGAAAGCCCCGGGCUCAACCUGGGAAUUGCGAUGGAGACUGCAAGGCUUGAAUCUGGCAGAGGGGGGUAGAAUUCCACGUGUAGCAGUGAAAUGCGUAGAGAUGUGGAGGAACACCGAUGGCGAGGGCAGCCCCCUGGGUCAAGAUUGACGCUCAUGCACGAAAGCGUGGGGAGCAAACAGGAUUAGAUACCUGGUAGUCCACGCCCCUAAACGAUGUCUACUAGUUGUCGGGUUUUAAUUAACUUGGUAACGCAGCUGACGCGUGAAGUAGACCGCCUGGGGGUACGGUCGCAAGAUUA